UACGUAGGGUGCGAGCGUUGUCCGGAAUUACUGGGCGUAAAGAGCUCGUAGGUGGUUUGUCGCGUUGUUCGUGAAAACUCACAGCUUAACUGUGGGCGUGCGGGCGAUACGGGCAGACUUGAGUACUGCAGGGGAGACUGGAAUUCCUGGUGUAGCGGUAGAAUGCGCAGAUAUCAGGAGGAACACCCGUGGCUAAGGCGGCUCUCUAGUACGUGACUGACGCUGAGACGCGAAAGCGUGGGGAGCGAACAGG
Molecule: ribosomal RNA, 253 nt
Filed under: uncultured bacterium
Lineage: Bacteria
Description: partial 16S ribosomal RNA
Rfam family: Bacterial small subunit ribosomal RNA
Source: RNAcentral